RNAcentral lists this long non-coding RNA (305 nucleotides) under Hordeum vulgare. RNAcentral describes it as "long non-coding RNA (HVUL_LNC017680)". The record is from RNAcentral. Lineage: Eukaryota; Viridiplantae; Streptophyta; Magnoliopsida; Poales; Poaceae.
GGCGGCUGCGUCCUGCGGCAUGAAGGCCGCAUCCAGCGCCAUGGGCUACUGGUUUUCAUCUUACCUUUUGCAUGUUCUUCUUUCUUUGUGUUCUUCUCGAUCUCGAAAUUGCUCAGAUGCAGAGCGUGCUGAUAACGUGUGAAGAAUCGGUUGUCAAGAAACGAGAGAAUCGAACGUAUGAAUCAACUCUUGUCUUAUUCCAUUGAUGUUCAACAUAUUUAUACAAGGAGAAGGGACCCAAUGAAAAGAUGCGUCCGUUCGUGAAGGGGUGCGUGGUAUGUCGGUUGCCAUUCUACUAACCGACA